AUGCGAGAUCCAUGGGCAAUCAAACCACGACGCGUCACUGCAACCCGGGGGACCUCCGACGGUGACUCUCGAGUCGCCGGCGGCUUCCCCGGUCACGGGUAUGGCCAUGAUCCCGUCUCUGAAUCCUUUCCCCUCACCUUCUCAAUUACUGACGGCGAUGGGGCAAGCACCUCAGCCGAUCUCGUUUCCCAGUUUCGCGGGCAAGAAUCCGCAGCUCUGGAAGACGCUUGCGGAGCAGUAUUUUCAGAUGUUUGCGGUUCAGGAGUCGUACUGGGUUCCCAUGGCAAUUCUGAAUUUCUCGGGUCCAGCUGCAAUCAAUGCACCACAAGGUCGCUGGCCUGGCGUGGGAUUCGUUCACGGCCCUGUUGUGCACUCGAUUUGGCCGCGAUAAGCAUCAGUUUCUCAUAUGUCAGUUCUAUGCUAUUAGACAGACGAAUUCAGUUCAGAUUGCAUUGCACGCUUUAA
Molecule: ribosomal RNA, 465 nt
Filed under: Triticum aestivum (bread wheat)
Lineage: Eukaryota; Viridiplantae; Streptophyta; Magnoliopsida; Poales; Poaceae
Description: partial small subunit ribosomal RNA
Source: RNAcentral